Molecule: ribosomal RNA, 253 nt
Filed under: uncultured bacterium
Lineage: Bacteria
Description: partial 16S ribosomal RNA
Rfam family: Bacterial small subunit ribosomal RNA
Source: RNAcentral
UACGGGGGGGGUAAGCGUUGUUCGGAAUUACUGGGCGUAAAGGGCGCGUAGGCGGCCAUCUAAGUCAGACGUGAAAUCCCCCGGCUUAACCUGGGAACUGCGUCUGAUACUGGACGGCUGGAGUUUGGGAGAGGGAUGUAGAAUUCCAGGUGUAGCGGUGAAAUGCGUAGAUAUCUGGAGGAAUACCGGUGGCGAAGGCGGCAUCCUGGACCAAUACUGACGCUGAGGCGCGAAAGCUAGGGGAGCAAACGGG